UGCAUCAGCCUAACGCCUGAUUGUGUGA
Molecule: non-coding RNA, 28 nt
Filed under: Rattus norvegicus (Norway rat)
Lineage: Eukaryota; Metazoa; Chordata; Mammalia; Rodentia; Muridae
Source: RNAcentral